RNAcentral lists this ribosomal RNA (492 nucleotides) under uncultured bacterium. RNAcentral describes it as "partial 16S ribosomal RNA". It matches the Rfam family "Bacterial small subunit ribosomal RNA", at positions 29 to 507 of the family's 1533-position model. The record is from RNAcentral.
AGUGAACGCUGGCGGUAGGCCUAACACAUGCAAGUCGAACGGCAGCACAGUAAGAGCUUGCUCUUACGGGUGGCGAGUGGCGGACGGGUGAGGAAUACAUCGGAAUCUACUUUUUCGUGGGGGAUAACGUAGGGAAACUUACGCUAAUACCGCAUACGACCUACGGGUGAAAGCAGUGGAUCUUCGGACCUUGCGCGAUUGAAUGAGCCGAUGUCGGAUUAGCUAGUUGGCGGGGUAAAGGCCCACCAAGGCGACGAUCCGUAGCUGGUCUGAGAGGAUGAUCAGCCACACUGGAACUGAGACACGGUCCAGACUCAUACGGGAGGCAGCAGUGGGGAAUAUUGGACAAUGGGCGCAAGCCUGAUCCAGCCAUACCGCGUGGGUGAAGAAGGCCUUCGGGUUGUAAAGCCCUUUUGUUGGGAAAGAAAAGCAGCAGGUUGAUACGCCGCUGUUCUGACGGUACCCAAAGAAUAAGCACCGGCUAACUUCGUG